This 253-nucleotide ribosomal RNA is filed under the name uncultured bacterium. RNAcentral's name for it is "partial 16S ribosomal RNA". It matches the Rfam family "Bacterial small subunit ribosomal RNA", at positions 524 to 776 of the family's 1533-position model. The record is from RNAcentral.
UACGGGGGGUGCGAGCGUUGUCCGGAAUCACUGGGCGUAAAGCGUCUGUAGGUGGUUUAAUAAGUCAACUGUUAAAUCUUGAGGCUCAACCUCAAAAUCGCAGUCGAAACUAUUAGGCUAGAGUAUAGUAGGGGUAAAGGGAAUUUCCAGUGGAGCGGUGAAAUGCGUAGAGAUUGGAAAGAACACCGAUGGCGAAGGCACUUUACUGGGCUAUUACUAACACUCAGAGACGAAAGCUAGGGUAGCAAAUGGG